GACGAACGCUGGCGGCGUGCCUAAUACAUGCAAGUAGAACGCUGAAGAGAGGAGCUUGCUCUUCUUGGAUGAGUUGCGAACGGGUGAGUAACGCGUAGGUAACCUGCCUUGUAGCGGGGGAUAACUAUUGGAAACGAUAGCUAAUACCGCAUAACAAUGGAUGACACAUGUCAUUUAUUUGAAAGGGGCAAUUGCUCCACUACAAGAUGGACCUGCGUUGUAUUAGCUAGUAGGUGAGGUAACGGCUCACCUAGGCGACGAUACAUAGCCGACCUGAGAGGGUGAUCAGCCACACUGGGACUGAGACACGGCCCAGACUCCUACGGGAGGCAGCAGUAGGGAAUCUUCGGCAAUGGGGGCAACCCUGACCGAGCAACGCCGCGUGAGUGAAGAAGGUUUUCGGAUCGUAAAGCUCUGUUGUAAGUCAAGAACGAGUGUGAGAGUGGAAAGUUCACACUGUGACGGUAGCUUACCAGAAAGGGACGGCUAACUACGUGCCAGCAGCCGCGGUAAUACGUAGGUCCCGAGCGUUGUCCGGAUUUAUUGGGCGUAAAGCGAGCGCAGGCGGUUUGAUAAGUCUGAAGUUAAAGGCUGUGGCUCAACCAUAGUUCGCUUUGGAAACUGUCAAACUUGAGUGCAGAAGGGGAGAGUGGAAUUCCAUGUGUAGCGGUGAAAUGCGUAGAUAUAUGGAGGAACACCGGUGGCGAAAGCGGCUCUCUGGUCUGUAACUGACGCUGAGGCUCGAAAGCGUGGGGAGCGAACAGGAUUAGAUACCCUGGUAGUCCACGCCGUAAACGAUGAGUGCUAGGUGUUGGAUCCUUUCCGGGAUUCAGUGCCGCAGCUAACGCAUUAAGCACUCCGCCUGGGGAGUACGACCGCAAGGUUGAAACUCAAAGGAAUUGACGGGGGCCCGCACAAGCGGUGGAGCAUGUGGUUUAAUUCGAAGCAACGCGAAGAACCUUACCAGGUCUUGACAUCCCGAUGCUAUUUCUAGAGAUAGAAAGUUACUUCGGUACAUCGGUGACAGGUGGUGCAUGGUUGUCGUCAGCUCGUGUCGUGAGAUGUUGGGUUAAGUCCCGCAACGAGCGCAACCCCUAUUGUUAGUUGCCAUCAUUCAGUUGGGCACUCUAGCGAGACUGCCGGUAAUAAACCGGAGGAAGGUGGGGAUGACGUCAAAUCAUCAUGCCCCUUAUGACCUGGGCUACACACGUGCUACAAUGGUUGGUACAACGAGUUGCGAGUCGGUGACGGCAAGCUAAUCUCUUAAAGCCAAUCUCAGUUCGGAUUGUAGGCUGCAACUCGCCUACAUGAAGUCGGAAUCGCUAGUAAUCGCGGAUCAGCACGCCGCGGUGAAUACGUUCCCGGGCCU
Molecule: ribosomal RNA, 1369 nt
Filed under: uncultured bacterium
Lineage: Bacteria
Description: bacterial SSU rRNA
Rfam family: Bacterial small subunit ribosomal RNA
Source: RNAcentral